This 300-nucleotide ribosomal RNA is filed under the name uncultured bacterium. RNAcentral describes it as "bacterial SSU rRNA". It matches the Rfam family "Bacterial small subunit ribosomal RNA", at positions 114 to 398 of the family's 1533-position model. The record is from RNAcentral.
CACGUGAGUAAUCUGCCUUUCAGUCUGGGAUAACAGUGCGAAAGCGCUGCUAAUACCGGAUAAGACCACAAGGCGUUGGCCAGGUGGGAAAAGGAUGGGAUCUCUUCGGAGACCAUCUGCUGGAAGAUGAGCUCGCGGCCCAUUAGGUAGUUGGCGGGGUAAUGGCCUACCAAGCCGACGAUGGCUAGCCGGCCUGAGAGGGUGAUCGGCCACAAGGGGACUGAGACACGGCCCUUACUCCUACGGGAGGCAGCAGUGGGGAAUAUUGGACAAUGGGCGAAAGCCUGAUGCAGCCAUGCC